UGCAAAUGCUUUUUUGUGUGUUCCCUGCAAAUGCCUCGGCAAUUUCAGAUUACGCGCGCGAAUCAAUCAAAAUUUUCUCGGCAUCGUCAAUAUCGAUGCAUCAACGGAGGAACUUAAUUCAGUGCUAGUGUACAAACGUGGCCUCGAGAAUUGGGCGAACGUCAAUACAUGCAGUAAAGACUAUUUCUGGGCUGUUUCCUAUUAGAUUAAUCUUUUGGUUCACACGGUGAAGAUUAAGUGAACCCAAAUGGUUUAUCUGGUAGAAAACGACCCAAGAAUAUUUCGUGCAUGAGGUGGAGAUCAGUAUGCCAAGUGCAUUGGCAGGAGAGGAAAUGAAACAGCGUUUUCUUGAGGAAAUCAUGGUCAAAUUGGAAAGUCUACGCUGAGAAACUACGAAGAGAUACACAAAGGUGGAAUAAUUCAGUGUAAGCGUGCUUAAAUUAAAGGUGAGCACUCGCGGGGUAGCCAUUUUUGGGUGGACCGUGCUUGUUGGUAAGGUUUUGAUGAAGGCAAUGACUUCUCAACUCACAAUUAUGUUGAUGGGGCAUACGAGAUAACAUGUGUUUUGUUUGGUCCCACUCGAUUUCAUUGUAUCAUGUGAUGCAUUAUCAUCUUCAAUAUCUACUCAAUCUUGUUUUCGCUAGUCUCUCGUACCUUGUGUCACUGUCAAGUUCUCGUCUGGCCUCCUUCCUCAUUUAUCCGGAAUCUACAUGCCUAUUUGCAAACGAGGAACUUCAAACACCAUGUGCUAUAUACAUGGAGAAUUUCUUGCUUUCAAGCGGAUGUUGAUUAAUUAUGGUAGAAAUAUGAGUGUUCUUUGAGCCAUAUAACCUAAUCACUCAUGAUCCGCAGAUGUGAAACAACCGAACCAAUUUCUCCAUAUUCGAUCUAACCUCAUCCUCUCUGUUUGGGACUUUAAUAGGUCCAGGGUUAGCUAUUUUGUUAAGCCUCUAAUAGAAAUUAUGGUAGUUGAACUCAGAAUUUCUUAGAUUUCCAGUAUCUGUUCUCUUCAACAAAAAAUAGUUCUUUAAUAGGACUAUUCAUGUUGGGGUGUAAAUGUUGUAGUCCUAGGCCACGACUUAAAUAUUGCAAUUAGGGAAAGGCCCUCCCCUGCACAUGGCGCAUUUCAUUGUUAGUGGACAAGAGAUCUUUAUGUUGAUAUGAUUGCUAAUUGCCCAACAAGUUUAAUCAUCUUUGCACCGAUACCGAAAAGCACAUACAGAUGAAUCCUUGCUUCUUACUUUUCAGUGUGUGGUUAUUACUAUCUCAGCUUCUUGUACUGUAACUAGUUCAUGUACAUUGAAAUCACCGUAGAGUUAUCUACAAAGCAUUGGAUUUAUGCUAGUUUGGUUCCUAAUCAUUGACCAAAUUUGGUACUCUUCAAUCUACUCUCUUCAAGCUGCUCUCCCCUGUUUUUUGACUUGGUUAAAGCUGCUUGAUUUGUGUGGAGAGCUAUAGAAAAAUUGAUUUUACUAGAUCAUUAUUCACUUCCUGAAUUUGAACAAAUUUAAAUAGAUCUAAUGUUUACAGUAGUAGUUGUUCCAUGAGUAUUAUUUCCUUACUUCAGAAGCCCCUCACAUUAGCUUUACUGACUAAUCUCUUUCACUUUACAGCUUUCACUUUACAGCAUACUAAUUGGCCUCUUUCACUAAUGACUACAGUGCUUAGGCUUUAUUCCCCCUCAGAAUAAUUCAUAGUAGGAGACAGAUAGGUCCCUAGAACUUUACCCCCUAAGCAGUUCGGAAUCUAGCUUAUUAUGGUUGAGCAUGGUGGACCUUUCUAUCUGAGCUUGUCUCCAAAGCCUUUAGCCAAGUCUCUUUUUCUAAUAUCUUAUUAGGGUUUGUGAACAGGUUACAACAUCAAUUUAGAGACUUUUUCUUCCCAUAAGGAACAAAAAGGAGGGGACCAACCCAUAAAUAUAGAAAUAAAAGCUCAGGACAUGGAAAUCCCCAGGUGUCUUUUCUUUGAUUCCUACCAUAAAAUUUUCUUUCAUGUCAUGUGUCUCUCCACUGUACUAAUGCCACCUUGAAACCACCUCAUUCCACCUCUAUUCAUCUCACAGUGAGACCACCCAGACAUUUACCAACUAUCUAGCAUAGCUUUUCAAUUUUCAACACUCAAAAAUUACAGAGCUUUAGUUGUAGUAGAAGAUUGGAAGAGCUUAUCAUCCCAAUCACAGCAGAAGCUUCAAUUAGCUUAGUUACCGCAGAAAACCUUAUUAAACAGUUGUUUGGCUCAGUUGCAGAAUAUUAAUUCGAGUUGUCUGAAUAGUAGAGUUGCCGAAUACACUAUACUAAAGCACGCAUGAUAUUUUUUCUUUUUCCCGAAGUAUCGUAUUCUUGUAAUAGAAUUGAAUACGAAACUAAACAAAAUCUAAUUAUUUCUUCUAAAUGCCUCUGUUAAAGAAGCACUUUCAGAAGAAGCUUCAAUUAUUAGGGGGAGGAGAAAAAAAAGGGAGAGAGAGAGAGAGAGAGAGAGAGAGAUGAGCAUGCAGUAGGCAAAAAAGACCAUGAGAUUUUCUUUUGUUGCUCCAAAAUGUCACAAGUUUAGCAGUAAGUGGGUGUGCCAUUCUUCCUAGUUCAGUUACUGGCCCCCACCAUAUCUGACCCCUUUUCAACCUGAUAUUUCCUGAGACCCUCAAUAGUAGGGGUCCCAUCCAUUACAAGUGCCCAUCCCUUCAGACAGUAGAAUUUCUGAGAGAAAACAAAAUCAAGAAAAAGAAAAAGAGGAAAAAGAAA
Long non-coding RNA from Ananas comosus (pineapple), 2738 nucleotides. RefSeq lists it as uncharacterized. Lineage: Eukaryota; Viridiplantae; Streptophyta; Magnoliopsida; Poales; Bromeliaceae. The transcript has 3 exons. The record is from RefSeq and is a predicted model, not a curated record.